ACAAGAGAAUAGUAAAGUGGGCGUUGAGCCAGUAACCAAACUCGCCCCUUCUCAUUUCUUUUAGGUCAUUUGGCUGAAAAGUUGAAGUUUUUUUCUGGUAAUGGCUGGAAUGCAACGUGAGGGAUUUGUAAGUCAAUAUUAUUUCACUAAAAUUUAUUUUAAAUCUUGCUUCCUCUCAUAUGCUCUAUAAAUUGACAAUAAUUCAACAA
Long non-coding RNA from Amphimedon queenslandica, 209 nucleotides. RefSeq lists it as uncharacterized. The transcript is spliced from 3 exons. The record is from RefSeq and is a predicted model, not a curated record. NCBI's taxonomy places the organism in Eukaryota, Metazoa, Porifera, Demospongiae, Haplosclerida, Niphatidae.